This 1126-nucleotide long non-coding RNA is filed under the name Cavia porcellus (domestic guinea pig). RNAcentral describes it as "lncRNA (ENSCPOG00000032355.1)". Lineage: Eukaryota; Metazoa; Chordata; Mammalia; Rodentia; Caviidae. The record is from RNAcentral.
AAGAGAGUGAACAUUUGGUUAUUUGAAAACUAACCUAACAAUAAAAUAUGCAGGUGGAAGUGGUGGUGCUAUCCCUGUAAUUCCAAUACUCCAGGAACAGGUAGGAGGAUUGCAAGUUCAGGCCCAGCCUAGGCAAUCUGAGACCCUGUCUCAGUGCAAAGGCCCUGCGUUCAUUUCCCAGUACUAAGGAAAAUAAAACCAAAAUGCACACAGGAUCAGGCGCGUCGUUUCUCACAGAGUAACUCACACAGCCUCAGCAAAACAAACCCAUCCUGAUUUCAGACACUUUGAGCCAUGAUUCAUAUAAAUACUCAUGGUAAAGUUACAAACAUUUGCACUAACAUUCAAUACUAUUUCCUCGCAGACCCUCACAUCCCACAAUAGUACAGACCCCGACACACAACUCACUGUAGGAAAAAAAAACUCCCUCACAAAUCUAAUUCCAGUCGCCUCAGAAGCACUAAAUCACCUUCAGACCUAAAGACAAACAUACGGCGCUGUCCUUGCUUGCAACGUGGAGCCCUGCCUCCCUUUCCCCCUCCCGAUUGGUUGCAAACAGUCAUUCUUAUCCAUCCCGCUUUAAUUGACGCGCAGCUAUCCUUCCGCUCCCCUACCCCAGCGGUGACAAAGGACCAAAGCCUCUUGCCGACUGCGGACUCUCAAGCCUUCGGGUUCAGCCAGCUGGCAGCCAAGACGCAGCCUUGCUCACCCGGACUUCUGCGCCUGCGCACUCAGCGCGCCUAGGUCCCUCCCAACAUCCCUAGCGUGCGGGCCAGUUAGUGUCUCGCUCUGUGUACUGUCUGUCAGUAGAAAUAGUGCGCUGGUCUCCGUUAGCCGUUUACUAGAGACGUUCAGGCGUUCCCAGGGAGUAGUCUUGGCUAAGCGCAUUGGUACUGACCGCCCUAGCAAAGGCGUCACGGCGCGCGAGCUCUGGCCUCUGCAAAGUCUGCUUCUGGCAAACAAACCCCGAGGAGGACUGACCCGUUCUUGGAUUUCUAAAUUAUGGCCUGUGUAAGUUACUGUUUAUUUGCUUCUGGAAAUAUUAUCAUGUUAAGAUCCUAGAAAUAUUCCUUUAUCUUGAAAUUUCUUACCUAUCAGAGCUUUCUCCCAGGACCUUCUUCCAGUU